GUAGAAAGUCCCAUUUAGGAGCAGAGCAUGAAUUGGAAAAUUUGGUCAGUGAUUUAUUUAGGCUCCAAAGGGAAAAUCUUGUAGGGUGUUUUUUGAAUAUCCUAAAUUUAUUUUGAUUUGAGACCAGCUUAAAGGGCAUGUCUAUCUUAAAACAGUUCUCCAUUUUCCUGAGAAAAAUUCCAGUAGAGCUAGUUGUGGGAGGUAAUAUUCCAACAAUGAACCUUUUGGGGCCAAAUAAGCACUUUAGCACAACUUACUUCAUCUCAUUCCUUAAACCAAAGCCUGUCUUGCCCACUGGGCAUGUUUAACUUUGACUGCUAAUUUUAUUUCCUUGCAGAGGCAAAAGAGACAGGAAAAAGGAGGGAAAAUAACUGAUGGCAUGUGGGUGAGGUUUUGGCUCAGGAAAUAAAUUUUAAAAAAUCCAGCUAGUACAGAGAUGCAGAAAGCAAUAGGUGUCUGAAACUAUUUCCCUGUUUUACAGAUUAAGAAAUAGAAGCCAGUAGAGGGAAAAUAACUUGCCUAAAGUUACCCAGAAGUUUUCAGGGCUUGGUUUGGUACUGGAAGCUAGUCUACUCAGUGUUUCUAUAAGAAAAUUCGAUAGUCCAGUUCCUCUGUCCAUCAAGAUAUUCCUUUAAUGCCCCUUACCACUUUAUCCCCCAUUCUCCUUUUUCACUGCUGUCUUAACAUCUAAAAAACUAGUCUGA
RNAcentral lists this long non-coding RNA (704 nucleotides) under Marmota monax (woodchuck). The record is from RNAcentral. Lineage: Eukaryota; Metazoa; Chordata; Mammalia; Rodentia; Sciuridae.